AGAGGGGUGGCCGAGUGGUCUAAGGCGCACGCCUGGAAAGCGUGUAUACUCCAAAAGGGUAUCGAGGGUUCGAAUCCCUUCCCCUCUGCAA
This 91-nucleotide transfer RNA is filed under the name Flavobacterium zepuense. RNAcentral's name for it is "Flavobacterium sp. ZT4R6 tRNA-Ser". It matches the Rfam family "tRNA". Rfam says of the family: Transfer RNA (tRNA) molecules are approximately 80 nucleotides in length. Their secondary structure includes four short double-helical elements and three loops (D, anti-codon, and T loops). Lineage: Bacteria; Pseudomonadati; Bacteroidota; Flavobacteriia; Flavobacteriales; Flavobacteriaceae. The record is from RNAcentral.